This 77-nucleotide transfer RNA is filed under the name Desulfitibacter sp. BRH_c19. Its description in RNAcentral is "tRNA-Met". It matches the Rfam family "tRNA". From Rfam's summary of the family: Transfer RNA (tRNA) molecules are approximately 80 nucleotides in length. Their secondary structure includes four short double-helical elements and three loops (D, anti-codon, and T loops). Lineage: Bacteria; Bacillati; Bacillota; Clostridia; Neomoorellales; Desulfitibacteraceae. The record is from RNAcentral.
GGCGGUGUAGCUCAGCUGGCUAGAGCAUGCGGUUCAUACCCGCAGAGUCGUAGGUUCAAGUCCUACCACCGCUACCA